RNAcentral lists this ribosomal RNA (461 nucleotides) under uncultured bacterium. RNAcentral's name for it is "SSU rRNA". It matches the Rfam family "Bacterial small subunit ribosomal RNA", at positions 26 to 518 of the family's 1533-position model. The record is from RNAcentral.
AGAAUCAACGCUGGCGGCGUGCCUAACACAUGCAAGUCGAACGAGAAAGGGGUAGCAAUACCCUGAGUAAAGUGGCGCACGGGUGAGUAACACGUGACUAACCUACCCUGGAGUGGGGGAUAACUGAGGGAAACCUUAGCUAAUACCGCAUAAUACCCACGGGUCAAAGGAGCAAUUCGCUUCAGGAGGGGGUCGCGGCCGAUUAGUUAGUUGGCGGGGUAGUGGCCCACCAAGACGAUGAUCGGUAUCCGGCCUGAGAGGGCGCACGGACACACUGGAACUGAAACACGGUCCAGACUCCUACGGGAGGCAGCAGUGGGGAAUUUUGCGCAAUGGGGGAACCCUGACGCAGCAACGCCGCGUGGAGGAUGAAGUACUUCGGUACGUAAACUCCUUUCGAUCGGGACGAUAAUGACGGUACCGAGAGAAGAAGCCCGGCUAACGUUCGCGCCAGCAGCCGC